Copidosoma floridanum is the source of this 221-nucleotide long non-coding RNA. Lineage: Eukaryota; Metazoa; Arthropoda; Insecta; Hymenoptera; Encyrtidae. The record is from RefSeq and is a predicted model, not a curated record.
AACGAUUCCACAGUUUUAGGUAUUUUUUUCAAGUCGAAAUUAGCCAGUUGUUCGCGGAGUUCACAGAGCUACGUCUGAGCAAUGCACUCAAUGCUCUUGCAGAAUAUGGAUAGAGCAGUGCAUAACUGAUAAUUAAAUAGUUUUGAUAAAAAUCUUCUUAUCACUACUCAGUGCUUCAAAAUACCCCCAUAUGCAUUGGCUAUUCUACAAAUGUAGCAAAG